GAUCCUGGCUCAGGAUGAACGCUAGCUACAGGCUUAACACAUGCAAGUCGAGGGUAAACGACAUCGAAAGCUUGCUUUUGAUGGGCGUCGACCGGCGUACGGGUGAGUAACGCGUAUCCAACCUGCCCAUCACUUGGGGAUAACCUUGCGAAAGUAAGACUAAUACCCAAUGACGUCUCUAGAAGACAUCUGAAAAGGGAUUAAAGAUUUAUCGGUGAUGGAUGGGGAUGCGUCUGAUUAG
RNAcentral lists this ribosomal RNA (241 nucleotides) under uncultured bacterium. Its description in RNAcentral is "partial 16S ribosomal RNA". It matches the Rfam family "Bacterial small subunit ribosomal RNA", at positions 15 to 244 of the family's 1533-position model. The record is from RNAcentral.